This 253-nucleotide ribosomal RNA is filed under the name uncultured bacterium. RNAcentral describes it as "partial 16S ribosomal RNA". It matches the Rfam family "Bacterial small subunit ribosomal RNA", at positions 524 to 776 of the family's 1533-position model. The record is from RNAcentral.
UACGGAGGAUCCAAGCGUUAUCCGGAUUUAUUGGGUUUAAAGGGUGCGUAGGCGGCCUAUUAAGUCAGGGGUGAAAGACGGUAGCUUAACUAUCGCAGUGCCUUUGAUACUGAUGGGCUUGAAUGGACUAGAGGUAGGCGGAAUGUGACAAGUAGCGGUGAAAUGCAUAGAUAUGUCACAGAACACCAAUUGCGAAGGCAGCUUACUAUGGUUUUAUUGACGCUGAGGCACGAAAGCGUGGGGAUCAAACAGG